GACGAACGCUGGCGGCGUGCUUAACACAUGCAAGUCGAACGGAAAGGCCCUGCUUGCAGGGUCCUCGAGUGGCGAACGGGUGAGUAACACGUGGGUGAUCUGCCCUGCACUUCGGGAUAAGCUUGGGAAACUGGGUCUAAUACCGGAUAGGAACCAUCUUUAGUGUGGUGGUUGGAAAGUUUUUUCGGUGUAGGAUGAGCUCGCGGCCUAUCAGCUUGUUGGUGGGGUAAUGGCCUACCAAGGCGGCGACGGGUAGCCGGCCUGAGAGGGUGUACGGCCACAUUGGGACUGAGAUACGGCCCAGACUCCUACGGGAGGCAGCAGUGGGGAAUAUUGCACAAUGGGCGCAAGCCUGAUGCAGCGACGCCGCGUGGGGGAUGAAGGCCUUCGGGUUGUAAACUCCUUUCGCUAGGGACGAAGCUUUUUGUGACGGUACCUAGAUAAGAAGCACCGGCUAACUACGUG
RNAcentral lists this ribosomal RNA (465 nucleotides) under uncultured bacterium. RNAcentral describes it as "partial 16S ribosomal RNA". It matches the Rfam family "Bacterial small subunit ribosomal RNA", at positions 28 to 507 of the family's 1533-position model. The record is from RNAcentral.